This 261-nucleotide long non-coding RNA is filed under the name Prunus persica (peach). RNAcentral describes it as "long non-coding RNA (PPER_LNC003668)". Lineage: Eukaryota; Viridiplantae; Streptophyta; Magnoliopsida; Rosales; Rosaceae. The record is from RNAcentral.
AUGACGCGACGAAGUGAACCUUUUUCGUCGCGCAAGACCUCGCAAACAAAUUUCCGCUAAGUUUCCAAGGAGGAACAGAGUGAAAUUUGAAAGUUAUGGCUGGUAUGGCGCGACGACCUGUCUUGUUUUCGUCGCGCAACGCCGUCCUUGGCAGGCCUUGCGCGACCAAACACGUUUGUUCGUCGCGCAAACCCUUUACCCUAAACCCUAAACCCUAAACCGCAUAAACCCUCAACCCGAAACUAGUUUUCAUGAUCCAAC